GACGAACGCUGGCGGCGUGCUUAACACAUGCAAGUCGAGCGAUGAGAUCACUUCGGUGAAGGAUUAGCGGCGAACGGGUGAGGAACACGUGAAGAAUCUGCCUUCAACUCUGGGAUAACUCCGGGAAACCGGGGCUAAUACCGGAUAUGAGCCUUGAUCGCAUGAUCGGGGCUGGAAAGUUUUUCGGUUGAAGAUGACUUCGCGGCCUAUCAGCUUGUUGGUGAGGUAAUGGCUCACCAAGGCGACGACGGGUAGCCGGCCUGAGAGGGCGACCGGCCACACUGGGACUGAGACACGGCCCAGACUCCUACGGGAGGCAGCAGUGGGGAAUAUUGGGCAAUGGAGGAAACUCUGACCCAGCGACGCCGCGUGCGGGAUGAAGGCCUUCGGGUUGUAAACCGCUUUCAGCAGGGAAUAAGCGCAAGUGAAGGUACCUGCAGAAGAAGCACCGGCUAACUAUGUGCCAGCCGCCGCAGUAA
RNAcentral lists this ribosomal RNA (479 nucleotides) under uncultured bacterium. RNAcentral's name for it is "partial 16S ribosomal RNA". It matches the Rfam family "Bacterial small subunit ribosomal RNA", at positions 28 to 523 of the family's 1533-position model. The record is from RNAcentral.